GAUGAACGCUGGCGGCGUGCCUAAUACAUGCAAGUCGAGCGAACAGACGAGGAGCUUGCUCCUCUGACGUUAGCGGCGGACGGGUGAGUAACACGUGGAUAACCUACCUAUAAGACUGGGAUAACUUCGGGAAACCGGAGCUAAUACCGGAUAAUAUAUUGAACCGCAUGGUUCAAUAGUGAAAGACGGUUUUGCUGUCACUUAUAGAUGGAUCCGCGCCGCAUUAGCUAGUUGGUAAGGUAACGGCUUACCAAGGCGACGAUGCGUAGCCGACCUGAGAGGGUGAUCGGCCACACUGGAACUGAGGCACGGUCCAGACUCCUACGGGAGGCGGCAGUAGGGAAUCUUCCGCAAUGGGCGAAAGCCUGACGGAGCAACGCCGCGUGAGUGAUGAAGGUCUUCGGAUCGUAAAACUCUGUUAUUAGGGAAGAACAAAUGUGUAAGUAACUAUGCACGUCUUGACGGUACCUAAUCAGAAAGCCACGGCUAACUACGUG
This 497-nucleotide ribosomal RNA is filed under the name uncultured bacterium. RNAcentral's name for it is "partial 16S ribosomal RNA". It matches the Rfam family "Bacterial small subunit ribosomal RNA", at positions 28 to 507 of the family's 1533-position model. The record is from RNAcentral.